GGCGCUGACAGCGCGCAGUCCGUCUCCAUUAAGAACCCCCUCCCCGGCGAGCAUCCAGACGUGAGACGAACGCGACUCGAGUUGAAGAGGCGGCGGCGAUACAGAGAAACGCGACAGGUCGAGAACGGCGGCCGCCAUGGAGGACAGAGCACCGCUUCUGCUGCCGCAGUACACGUUGCGGGACGGCGGCGACGGACGGGAGGAGAAGUGCGGCGGCGGCGUGAGGUGGUGGAGGGACCUGGCGCGGGAGGCCGGCAAGGUCGGGUACGUGGCCCUGCCGAUGGCGGCCGUGAGCGUGUCGCAGUACGCGGUGCAGGUGGCGUCCAACAUGAUGGUCGGUCACCUCCCCGGCGUCCUCCCGCUCUCCGCCUCCGCCAUCGCCACCUCCCUUGCCAGCGUUUCCGGUUUCAGCCUCCUUAUUGGAAUGGCAAGUGGAUUGGAAACUUUAUGCGGCCAAGCCUAUGGUGCAAAACAGUACGACAAAUUGGGAAUGCACACCUAUAGAGCUAUAGUCACACUCAUAGUUGUGAGCAUUCCAAUAUCACUUCUGUGGGUUUUCAUAGCCAAACUCCUCAUCCUCAUAGGUCAAGAUCCCUUGAUCUCAAAGGAAGCUGGGAGAUAUAUAGUCUGGUUGAUUCCAGGACUCUUUGCAUACGCAAUCAGCCAGCCUCUCACAAAAUUUCUGCAGUCUCAGAGUCUGAUAAUUCCUAUGCUUUGGUCCUCCAUUGCAACACUGCUCCUGCACAUUCCUAUUUGCUGGUUAUUGGUGUUCAAGACCAGUUUGGGGUAUAUUGGAGCUUCUUUGGCGAUAAGCUUAUCAUAUUGGUUAAACGUAAUUAUGCUUGCUGCUUACAUCAGAUGUUCGAAUUCUUGUAAGGAGACCCGUUUGCCUCCUACAGUUGAGGCCUUCAAAGGAGUUGGUGUGUUUCUGCGCCUAGCUCUGCCAUCUGCACUGAUGCUGUGUUUUGAAUGGUGGUCCUUUGAGAUCCUCAUUCUUCUCUCAGGAAUUUUACCAAAUCCAGAACUGCAAACUUCAGUUCUUUCAAUCUGCCUGACGACUAUCACGUUAAUCUAUACUAUACCUUAUGGGCUUGGAGCGGCUGCAAGCACUAGGGUAGCAAAUGAAUUAGGUGGUGGUAACCCCGAAGGAGCUAGAUCAGCUGUCCGGGUUGUCAUGUGUAUUGCCGUGAUGGAGGCGGCUAUCAUCACAGUAAUAUUGUUGGCAUCACAGCACAUCUUGGGCUAUGCAUAUAGCAGCGAUAAGGAGGUUGUUGCGUAUGUCAAUGCAAUGGUUCCAUUUGUGUGCAUCUCUGUUGCUGCUGAUAGCCUGCAAGGAGUUCUAUCAGGUCACAUCUCUAUACUUCCUUUAGCUAGUUGAUCUGCCUUUCCUUCAAAAGAGUAAAGAAAAAAAAAUCUUCCUGGUCUUAAAACCUCAAAAACACAUCUUCCAAUUAUACCAGUAAAGUAUGAAACAAACUUGUUAUCGGUCUUUACACCAAACUAAAACGCCCUGUACCCCUUAGUUUGAUCUCUAUAAUUCAAUCUGUGUGCUCUUGUCAAUUUUGGUAUGAAGCCCUAUCAGGUGGCAAGUGACCAUUACAGUUUUGUCAGUCGUGCCAAUGUCAUAUACCAGGUAACACGCCGCUUCUGUUCUUAGUUUCUUCCACGGUACUAAUGCUAUUCUGUGUUGUGGAAGCAAAAUUUUGUUACUCGGGGAGUUACUUGUUUAUUCCUUCGAAAAUGGGCUCUUACGUGAACAUGGAUGCCGGUGUUUUCAUCAACACGCAUCUAGCAGAGAUGUUACCGUAAGCAGGCUCCACAUCACUACGUAUUGCUAGAGGAUGCGGGUGGCAGCACUUGGGCGCCUAUGUCAACCUGGGCUCAUUCUAUCUCGUUGGGAUCCCAAUGGCAGUCUUGCUCGGCUUUGUUCUAAAGAUGGAAGGAAAAGGGCUUUGGAUAGGCAUUUCCUGCGGCUCCAUUGUGCAGUUCUUACUCCUUGCCACCGUAGCAUUCUUCAGCAACUGGCAGAAGAUGUCCGAUAAAGCGAGGGAGAGAGUUUUCAGCGACGAGCUGUCAGACAAGGUACCUUCGGAAUCGGAUGGAUCGGAAAUGCCUUAAUUUUGGCACGAGUCCUCUGAUCCCUUAACCUGAACGUGAAGAAGCGCACGAGAUGAUAUACAAGAGAAAGUGAAAAGAAAAAAACACUUACGGAAUUUCCUUUUUCUGCUGCCUUGCUUUGGAGGGACUCUGAACUCUAUGUACAGGGGAUUUGCUGAACGCUGACCACUUCUGUGUUCUUUGCUGGUGUUGUUUGAAACUGGGACAGUUGUAUCAGAAACACGACAUAUGAUGAUUAUAUGGUAGAUAGGAGCAAAAAGAGCUUUGCUUU
Panicum virgatum (switchgrass) is the source of this 2389-nucleotide RNA transcript. It is a transcript of the gene named protein DETOXIFICATION 14-like, with no coding region annotated. NCBI's taxonomy places the organism in Eukaryota, Viridiplantae, Streptophyta, Magnoliopsida, Poales, Poaceae. The record is from RefSeq and is a predicted model, not a curated record. The transcript is spliced from 7 exons.